Molecule: long non-coding RNA, 555 nt
Filed under: Homo sapiens (human)
Lineage: Eukaryota; Metazoa; Chordata; Mammalia; Primates; Hominidae
Description: HSALNT0211702
Source: RNAcentral
UUCGUAGGAAAUCUCGGCCGAGGACUUCCACCGCCGGUGGGUGUGUUUUUUUCUGGACCAGGCUCAGAAUGUAGCCAUCCAUUUUCUUGCUGGAUGAAGGAUGGGAAGCAGACCACAGACUGCUUGGGGACGGUAUUCCGGAAGCAGUUGAAAGUGAUCGCCUACUGCUCCCUUCUGUUGCCAACGGAAUCUCACUUCCCCCUACUGUUUUGAUUUUUCUUUCCCUUUCUUUUUAAAGCAGGUGCUGGUACUUCUUCCUCCACUAGUGCUAUUUCAUUAUCUCCUUUCUAAUGUUGUUCAGCCCUAGUUGGUUCUUUUGCUUUCCCUGGACACGCCUGUCUGCUCAGAAAAACUGUUAAUUGACACUCAGAAAGUGUACCACUAACGAUGGGGUGGACCUGCUGCCUGGAUGAUCUGGAGAGUAAGAUAAAGUUGCCAGCAUGAAAAAGAGUCUUGGCUGAAUAUAUUACAGUGGUGUUAACUUAUGCUUGAAGAUCUUUCCUGGGCAGAGCCAGAACAUGUCCCUCAUAUCACACAGUCUGAUGCUUUGUCCUU